RNAcentral lists this ribosomal RNA (1429 nucleotides) under uncultured organism. RNAcentral describes it as "partial small subunit ribosomal RNA". It matches the Rfam family "Bacterial small subunit ribosomal RNA". The record is from RNAcentral.
GCGUGCUUAACACAUGCAAGUCGAACGGAAAGGCCCUGCUUUUGUGGGGUGCUCGAGUGGCGAACGGGUGAGUAACACGUGAGUAACCUGCCCUUGACUUUGGGAUAACUUCAGGAAACUGGGGCUAAUACCGGAUAGGAGCUCCUGCUGCAUGGUGGGGGUUGGAAAGUUUCGGCGGUUGGGGAUGGACUCGCGGCUUAUCAGCUUGUUGGUGGGGUAGUGGCUUACCAAGGCUUUGACGGGUAGCCGGCCUGAGAGGGUGACCGGCCACAUUGGGACUGAGAUACGGCCCAGACUCCUACGGGAGGCAGCAGUGGGGAAUAUUGCACAAUGGGCGGAAGCCUGAUGCAGCAACGCCGCGUGCGGGAUGACGGCCUUCGGGUUGUAAACCGCUUUCGCCUGUGACGAAGCGUGAGUGACGGUAAUGGGUAAAGAAGCACCGGCUAACUACGUGCCAGCAGCCGCGGUGAUACGUAGGGUGCGAGCGUUGUCCGGAUUUAUUGGGCGUAAAGGGCUCGUAGGUGGUUGAUCGCGUCGGAAGUGUAAUCUUGGGGCUUAACCCUGAGCGUGCUUUCGAUACGGGUUGACUUGAGGAAGGUAGGGGAGAAUGGAAUUCCUGGUGGAGCGGUGGAAUGCGCAGAUAUCAGGAGGAACACCAGUGGCGAAGGCGGUUCUCUGGGCCUUUCCUGACGCUGAGGAGCGAAAGCGUGGGGAGCGAACAGGCUUAGAUACCCUGGUAGUCCACGCUGUAAACGGUGGGUACUAGGUGUGGGGUCCAUUCCACGGGUUCCGUGCCGUAGCUAACGCUUUAAGUACCCCGCCUGGGGAGUACGGCCGCAAGGCUAAAACUCAAAGGAAUUGACGGGGCCCCGCACAAGCGGCGGAGCAUGCGGAUUAAUUCGAUGCAACGCGUAGAACCUUACCUGGGUUUGACAUGGAUCGGGAGUGCUCAGAGAUGGGUGUGCCUCUUUUGGGGUCGGUUCACAGGUGGUGCAUGGCUGUCGUCAGCUCGUGUCGUGAGAUGUUGGGUUAAGUCCCGCAACGAGCGCAACCCUUGUUCACUGUUGCCAGCACGUUAUGGUGGGGACUCAGUGGAGACCGCCGGGGUCAACUCGGAGGAAGGUGGGGAUGACGUCAAGUCAUCAUGCCCCUUAUGUCCAGGGCUUCACGCAUGCUACAAUGGCUGGUACAGAGAGUGGCGAGCCUGUGAGGGUGAGCGAAUCUCGGAAAGCCGGUCUCAGUUCGGAUUGGGGUCUGCAACUCGACCUCAUGAAGUCGGAGUCGCUAGUAAUCGCAGAUCAGCAACGCUGCGGUGAAUACGUUCCCGGGGCUUGUACACACCGCCCGUCAAGUCAUGAAAGUUGGUAACACCCGAAGCCGGUGGCCUAACCGUUGUGGGGGAGCCGUCGAAGGUGGGACUGGUGAUUAG